RNAcentral lists this ribosomal RNA (497 nucleotides) under uncultured bacterium. RNAcentral's name for it is "partial 16S ribosomal RNA". It matches the Rfam family "Bacterial small subunit ribosomal RNA", at positions 28 to 507 of the family's 1533-position model. The record is from RNAcentral.
GAUGAACGCUGGCGGCGUGCCUAAUACAUGCAAGUCGAGCGAACAGACGAGGAGCUUGCUCCUCUUACGUUAGCGGCGGACGGGGGAGUAACACGUGGAUAACCUACCUAUGAGACUGGAAAAACUUCGUGAAACCGGACCUAAUACCGGAUAAUAUUUUGAACCGCAUUGUUCAUUAGUAUAAGAGGAGUUUGCUGUCACUCAUUAAUGGAUCCGCGCUGCAUUAGCUAGUUGGUAAGGUAAAGGCUUACCAAGGCAACGAUGCGUAGCCGACCUGAAAGGGUGAUCGGCCACACUGGAACUGAGACACGGUCCAGACUCCUACGGGAGGCAGCAGUAGGGAAUCUUCCGCAAUGGGCGACAGCUUGACGGAGCAACGCCGCGUGAGUGAUGAAGGUCUUAGGAUCGUAAAACUCUGUUAUUAGGGAAGAACAAAUGUGUAAGUAACUAUGCACGUCUUGACGGUACCUAAUCAGAAAGCCACGGCUAACUACGUG